CAAGUUAGAGCUUGAUAAAGCAUUUUAGUUACAUUAAAAAGUUUAUUGUAUAAUCAAUAUAACUUGA
Molecule: transfer RNA, 67 nt
Filed under: Rhynchophorus ferrugineus (red palm weevil)
Lineage: Eukaryota; Metazoa; Arthropoda; Insecta; Coleoptera; Curculionidae
Description: tRNA-Val
Source: RNAcentral